This is a transfer RNA of 95 nucleotides. It matches the Rfam family "tRNA". Rfam says of the family: Transfer RNA (tRNA) molecules are approximately 80 nucleotides in length. Their secondary structure includes four short double-helical elements and three loops (D, anti-codon, and T loops). The record is from Rfam.
GGCAACAUGGCCGAGUGGUCCAAGGCGCUGGAAUCAGGAUCUGACGUCCGCCCAUCCAGUCCGAAAGGGCGCGAGUUCGAAUCUCGCUGUUGUCA